CACCGCCCAAGAUCAAGUCCUGAAGUCCCCUUAGAAGGCGUCCCAGAGGGACCGGACCUGGGUAGGAAGGAGCCUUCUCUCUCCAGAGGUUAAACUGCAAACCACGACUCUCCCUCUCACCCCACCAUCUUCAAGGCUUCCUCCACGUGUGCUUUGGUGGUCUUCAUCCUCCCCAUAUGGGCGUCAGAGACACGUUUUGAAAGGACAUUUUGUGUUCCGACGAGCGCCCACUGGAAUGGUACCAGCCACCAAAGGCCGUGUUCCCAGAAGACACUGCGAGAUAAUGCUCAUUAUUUGUGUCUAUUGGGAAAGAAGAAACAGUCUUUAAAAAGAGCCGAAACCUGUUUUCCUUCCCAUUGGCCUAGCUCCGCCCGGUGGAGUUACCUGGGUCACAUCUAAUAACUGUUUUCCAGGUACAUAAAGCUAGAAGUCACAUAAGACUUGUCUUAAUAUCUGUGUGUCUUCAUCACUCCUCACGGGGUAUAGGAACUGGCCAUUUCCAAUGCUUGACCCCGAGUCAGUAUUCAUUUCUCUUGUGGAUCAAUGGCGCUCCAAGGUCAGAUGUAAACCUGAUUCUCCAGGUGUCUCCACACUGCAGAGCAGCAGGCGUUUGCACAAUUGUGAGAUCUCAUUUAUUUGUAGCGUGUCCAUGAGGCCAGAAAGAGUUGCUGCUAGUAAGGAGCCUGAUACAUUGAUGGUGCUAAAAAAAAAAAUUACUGAAGAAAUGUACAAAUAUAGUUUAAAUAAGGUUCCACCACCAGAACGUACUAUCCCAAAGAGAACAUUUUGCGGGAACAUUCUCAAUGAUCAGUUUGAAGGUUAUUCCUUUGGUGGGUCACCUGUGGUGUGGUCACUUGCCCCUUACCAUGGUGACGUUUUGCUGUCUCUCCAUCCCCAUAUUUUUCAAAGAAUAUAUAUGAGGAUUCAGAACUGCUUAAAAAAAAUGUGUUGCGCUCUUAGAUACCCUAAUGUGUGAAAAAUCUGCCUUAAUCAAACAAAUUAGGAAACGAUUACUCCCUGAGCCUGGCUUCUGUUGCCCAUGCAUUGAUUUAUAGACUAUUAAUUACUUGACAGAGAAGGCAAAUGUAGGAGACAUAUAGCCAAAGGAUGAGACACCAGUGUACCACUCUCAAUUUCAAAACAGAGAAAGUCGUCAUGGCAUUUCAGAGGCAGAAAGGUCUUUCCCAACAUGAUCAUCUCACAGAGGAGAAAACAGAGAGGCGGAGUGACCUGCACAAAGUCACACAGCUUUGCAGAAUGGGGCAAAGGAGCAUCUUGUGUCUCCCUGACACGCUGCUCCCUGAUAGAGCUGGUGGCAUUAAUCGGAGGGAACAGAAAUUUUGAUUUAACCCCACUUUUCAGGUUACUUCUGUGAUGCACUUAUCAAAUUACGAAGCAUCUUUCGUGCUCGUCUUCACUGUUGAUAUGUGUGGAAAUUAAUUACACAGAAGAGUGAAGAUGGCUCACCCAUCUCAGAGACUGACCAUGGCAAAUGACAAGCGAAAAAAGAUGGCGUCAUUACAGCGCUUUUGGCGUUGGUUAAUUUCCCAUGGAUUACCAUGCGGGGAGUUGAACGUGCCCCCCAUACCCCUUCAGGUUGGGGAUAGGCUAGUGCCAGUCUGUGGAAGGCUAUGCUCAGGGCCCUUGGGCAGUGACAAGCCUUUCAUUCUUCACUAUGAAUCUAUGGUGAUCCCAAGGGUGCCAGGUACUCCUGGCCCAGGCCUGGGUUUUCCAGAAACUUUCCUUAUUGAUACUUCACCUGAACAUGGUUCUGGAAGAAGUCCCCAAAAAAGAUGUUCCCGUGCUGUCUCUGUCCAAAUGCUGGCUGACACUUCCACAUUGUUUUUUUAAGUGUCAUGGAGGAAUGUAGCAUUUAUGGCCCUGUGAGCUGGCUAUCUGUGUCAUCUAAAAUAGAAAAUCUUCUCAAGUUGGGUGUAAACACAUCUCGAGGAGACUGGCACUCGCACUGCUGUGGCUGUGCAGGGACUGGAGCCAACCAGGAGUCACUAAGACCUUUCCUGCCCCUGGGUGGCUUUGUGGAGACCCUGUAGUGCCUUCCACAGCUAAAGCCCUUUGCACGGGACCUUAGGCAGGUGGACCUCUGGAAGUGUUAUCUGUAGAGAUAGCUGUGGGCAUGGAGAUUGAAGAUGAACAUCUCAACUAACUCGCAUAACAGCAAAAUGGAAAGCAUUGUGCUAACCUUUUUUAGAACAGCUGCAAAAUUUCCAACUUAUAUAAUGCACUCUUUAAACCUUUUUAAAAUUCAGAUAUAAUUACACGAGGCAGUGCAUCCAUCUUAAGUGUACAGUUCAAUGCGGUUUUGAUGAAUGCACACUACCAUAGCCAAUACCCCAAUCAAGACAUAGAGCCCUGCCACCCCCCCCAGAAAGUUCUUUGUUCUUCUUCUUAGUCAUCCACAAUACCCCGUUCCCCGCCCCCCCACCAAAGGCAACCAUGAUUCUAUCUCAUCAAUCAGUUUUGCCUGCUCUUGAACUUCAAAUGAAUGGGCUAAUUUGUGCUCUUUGUACACUUUUGUGCCUGGCUUAUGCAUUAUACUUUUGGGGCUCAUCCAUGGUUUUGUAUGUAUUAAUAGUUCCUUCUUUUUUCUUGUUAAGUAAUAUUACAUGGAAUGGAUAUAUAACGAUUUGUUUACCCAUUCUCCUUUUGAUGUAUUAUAUUUGGGUG
Molecule: long non-coding RNA, 2685 nt
Organism: Hipposideros armiger (great roundleaf bat)
Lineage: Eukaryota; Metazoa; Chordata; Mammalia; Chiroptera; Hipposideridae
Exons: 3
Source: RefSeq, a predicted model, not a curated record